Molecule: long non-coding RNA, 246 nt
Filed under: Aquilegia coerulea
Lineage: Eukaryota; Viridiplantae; Streptophyta; Magnoliopsida; Ranunculales; Ranunculaceae
Description: long non-coding RNA (ACOE_LNC000992)
Source: RNAcentral
UGGUUCCCAGACCUGUUGCAAAAUUUAAAACAUACAUGAUUGAACUUAAUAGAUAGAGCUUGUGCAGAAUUUAAAAUGUUUUGUGAGAUCCAUGACAAGUUUGAAGCUCUCCCAUUCAGAAAGUCAGAUGCUCCUUUGUUGUCUGUCUCGAUCUCCACGUCUGUUAGUUGGUGUCGGAUCCCUGCCCUGAUUGCGCAGCUGAUUCCAUGACAUUCUGCUUCUUCUGGGGUCCCAGCAUUCCCUGAU